ACCAGCAGCUAUAUCAUCCUGCAACUAACAACUGGCAAGCACUGAUACUCAGCAGGUGUGAGCCUGGCCAGUACCUGGAUGGGAGACGUCCUGGGAAAGCUAAGGUUGCUGCUGGAA
This 117-nucleotide ribosomal RNA is filed under the name Lepisosteus oculatus (spotted gar). Lineage: Eukaryota; Metazoa; Chordata; Actinopteri; Semionotiformes; Lepisosteidae. The record is from RNAcentral.